GGGGCGUCAGGUCGGCACCGAGUGCGUCCAAGCUAGCUCACCGCGAGCUCCAGUGCGGUGAUAAGGAUGCCAUGGCGUCGUGCUCAUCCGCUCGUCGUAGGCCGGCUAUAAAUAGCCGCGGCCCGAGACCUCCCCGAGCACCUGAGCACCUCCAUCCUCAUCUCCCCGCUCCACUGGUCCUCGCCGUCCACUUGCCGGAGCUCCAUCUCUUCUCCUCGCCUCCAAUCGCCGCCAUGGCCGCCGCCCCUCCUCUGCUAAAUUCGCUUGGUGCAGGCCCCCUCUCUCCCGUCUGACCUCGCCAUCGUUCUCCCAUCCCCGGCGCGGACCUCCUCAACCCCUGGCCUAGCCCUCCGAAGGCCGAUAGCCACCGCACCCUUCGGCACCCGAGCCUCCGUCCGCCAUAGCCGGGGCACCCAUGCCCUGAUCCUCCCCAGGCUUCGCCACCCACGGGGAUGGAUGUGGCUCGGUCCCUAUAUCUCGCCGCUGCCGGACCGCGAUGAAUGGUGGUCGGAGCCAUCGGCGGCCGUCGCCGGUGUUAAUCCUCCUCCCCUGCCCUCUGUUUUGUCGCGAGGAGGAAGGAGGUUGAAGAAGGAGAGAGGAGAGAGAGAAGAAAGGGACCAGACAGGUGGGCCCUGACCCCACCUGUCGGUGAGAGAGGCACCCGCCAGCAUGGAUAAGUGGAGACGUAUUUCUCGAAAUACGCUUUCCCUAGCAGAAAGCAUAUUUUGGUAGAAGGUGCCAGCGGCUGUUCUCUCAGGGACCCCGAUGGUAAUUAUUUUAAUUGUAGAUUGCUCCUUUUUCUUCAAAUGCUUGUAUCUUUUUGCUCGGGACUCCGAUUGAGGUGAUUCCAAAGCCCACGUGUUCAUCUCGUCGAGCCCGUCAUGCUGGCAUAAUUUUCACAAGGUGGUUACACAGUGAAAAUGACCCUUUUGCCCCUGUCUCCAAUCAGCCCCCUUCGAGAGAGAGCGGUUUCCGGCGAUCCUUUCCGCGGACUCUUCGCACCUCUUCCGGGAGUAUUCUUCACCCCCACGCAAGCCGACCACCUGACAUAUGCCCUAAAGCUUUGAUCUGUGUUGUUCCUACAUGUUUAAUUAAUAUGCUUGUGAUUGUAUGUGUCGUAACGUGGCCUGUAUGUGACUCCGAUGAACCCUUGCUCGCAUUUUCUUCAAUAUGGCACCACGCCUGAGUCUGUGCUCCUUUCGGCCGUCCGGGGUGGAUGCCAACUUUAUAUUUCUCUUGUCAGCAGCUAGCUCGUGUUCUGAGCUGCUUUUCGUCCGUCACGGGCAACUGUUGAACUUCUUUCCGUGGGAGUGACCCUAUGCUCUGAGCUGUUCUUCUGCCGUCUUAGUGAACUGCUACAUUCUUCUUAUCAACACCGCACCAUGCUCUGUGCUGCUUUCCAGCCGUCUUGAGCCGGGGCCGGUAACGUCCUAGAUCUGUGUUGUAAAGACCGUUCUGGUGGCUACCAAUUUAUUUGCCGGUUUUAUGCGAGGGUUCCAAGGGUCUAAUUUAGGGUUAGAGCUUGUAAAGUAAUAACUUGUCAUUUACAUCUUGUCUUAUUAAUGACUCAUAAUAUAGAGAUAGGUUGUGGUGUUUCUAGCGUUGUUAGUUCAUGCAUAAUUAUCAUCAUGUUAAGUUAUUGUUGAUAACAACCAUACUUGAUAAAUAUGUUGUUAAAACCAAACCUAAUGGGUUGAUGUUGAGUCACCUGUUCGGGCCUAUCCGUGCAACCACAUAUGCCAAUAUGGGACGGUCGUGACUUGGGCUGAUCGCAUGACCUUUCACCGGUACCUCCAAAGAGGGAGGGUUAUGAAGGCGUGCUACCUUGAUCAGGUAGGCGGUGAUAAUCCUGUGAGCCCAGUUGAGUUGUUUUGGGCCUGUCCCCGGUUGGGACAGUUCAGUUUGGCCACGACGAUGACAUGUGUCAUGAGGACUCAAGGCCACCCAAGGCAGGACUCCGAGGGAGAAUGAUUGCCGGUGGUACGAUGAGAGAGUCACGGGUCAGGCAGGUUUCAUUGGAGCAACAUUGGUCCACCCGAAUGGGAUCACGAGAUCAAUGCUCUAGAGUGUGGGUAAAGUGUGCAACCUCUGCAGAGUGUGAAAUCUAUUCGAAUUGCCGCGUCCACGGUAUUGGACAGCCUGUCCCGAUCUCAGUAGGUGGUCAACCAUAUCAGGGAUGGUAAUGAUGGAAGAUCUCAUCUAGUGCAGACAUCGGAAGACGUCUGGUAUAUGACAUGUUAGCCAUGGGAUGGCUAUGAGAUGAGUGGUCGGAUAACCACAUGAGUUGGAUUGGAUUUGGAUAAGAUUCAGACUGGAUCAUGAGAAUAGUCGGAGUAUGAUCCAUUUACCUAAUAUGCUUUACUUUAUCAUAUUUACAUUAGAAGUUAUCUUGCUGGAUAACCCUGUUAUACCUUGAUAAUUGUUAUUGCUCUAAUAACAAAUACAUGCUUGAAUGCCAUAGAUUGCUUUGCUUAGUGUAUAUGUUAGUUUGGUUUUGCUUGCGAGUACAUUCAAAAGUACUCAUCGGUUUUUAACAUGGCCAGGUUCACAUAAGGAUCCGUCGCCUGUCAGCAAGGAACUGGAGCGUUCGCGGGCUAGGAGCGUAAUCGAGUCAGAUCCCUGUGGAUUGGAGCCGCACAAACACCAUGCUGCCUUAGAUAGAGCUUUUCCCGCUGCCAUCACCCUUGUAGUUCAUCAUGUAAAACUCUUAUAUUCAUGCCUGUGUUCAUUAUACUUCUUGUAAACGUGCAUGCCAGAGUGAUUUCCUAGGCUGG
This 2774-nucleotide long non-coding RNA is filed under the name Hordeum vulgare. Its description in RNAcentral is "long non-coding RNA (HVUL_LNC018777)". The record is from RNAcentral. Lineage: Eukaryota; Viridiplantae; Streptophyta; Magnoliopsida; Poales; Poaceae.